Molecule: long non-coding RNA, 691 nt
Filed under: Crocodylus porosus (Australian saltwater crocodile)
Lineage: Eukaryota; Metazoa; Chordata; Crocodylia; Crocodylidae
Description: lncRNA (ENSCPRG00005018075.1)
Source: RNAcentral
AUGUAUGAAGACCAUGCCAUCUGGUGUAAAGGACUAGAAAGAAUCCCAUUAGUUCCUGAGAAGAGAGAAGCUGGUUCGGAGAGGCUCCACAUUUUUCUGCCACCUUCGGUCAAGCAGGAAAAAGAAGAGCUAUGGAAACAAACACAGACAAAAACAACAAAAGCAGGCACCCAACAUAAUACACUGUAACACAGUGUAGCAGAAGAUGGAAGGGGAAUACUGAGCAUCAUAGAAGAAACUGAAAGAGGUUGAUUCUUCUAAUCCCAAGAGAAGAAAGAGGAAAGAACAGCUCAAUAACCAUACAGCAAUAAUGCCAAUAACAUUGCUGUUUAUAGACUGCUGCGGAAAAACUGCAGAGGACUUUGCAUAGCAUGAGAGACCUAGUAAUCUUGUAUAAAAAGGGAAGCAAAAAUACAAAUGUGUGUCCUGGAAGGAGGGCCACCCUCACACAGCAUAUUUUCAGUAUAACUCCUGAGGAAUUGGAUAUUGUGGUUAUUUAAUAGUGGGGAUGUCCACAGAAACUUUCUUGGAUGUUGAUAGAUACACUAGCUCAUGUUAUACAAUUUCCAGACAUGUACCUCACCGCACCAUUAUAUGUAAAGGCCUUUACAUGUAUUUUAUUGGCUGUGAGGAGCACUUUUUGUAUGUUGAAAAAGUAGGUGGAAAUAAAAGGUCCUAUUCUCUAUUAACU